Molecule: ribosomal RNA, 238 nt
Filed under: uncultured bacterium
Lineage: Bacteria
Description: partial 16S ribosomal RNA
Rfam family: Bacterial small subunit ribosomal RNA
Source: RNAcentral
UCGAGAAUCAUUCGCAAUGGGCGCAAGCCUGACGGUGCGACGUCGCGUGGAGGAUGAAGGUCUUCGGAUUGUAAACUCCUGUCAUGUGGGAUAAAUGGCCAGGGCAUGAAUAGUGCCUUGGAAUGAUAGUACCACAGGAGGAAGGGACGGCUAACUCUGUGCCAGCAGCCGCGGUAAUUCAGAGGUCCCGAGCGUUGUUCGGAUUUACUGGGCGUAAAGGGAGCGUAGGCGGUUUGGU